Molecule: ribosomal RNA, 439 nt
Filed under: uncultured bacterium
Lineage: Bacteria
Description: partial 16S ribosomal RNA
Rfam family: Bacterial small subunit ribosomal RNA
Source: RNAcentral
CUACGGGCCGCUGCAGUGGGGAAUAUUGCACAAUGGAGGAAACUCUGAUGCAGCAACGCCGCGUGGAGGAUGACACUUUUCGGAGCGCAAACUCCUUUUAUAUAGGAAGAAGAUGACGGUACUAUAUGAAUAAGCGCCGGCUAACUCCGUGCCAGCAGCCGCGGUAAUACGGAGGGCGCAAGCGUUACUCGGAAUCACUGGGCGGAAAGAGCGUGUAGGCGGAUUAAAAAGUCAGAAGUGAAAUCCUAUAGCUUAACUAUAGAACUGCUUCUGAAACUCUUAAUCUAGAAUAUGGGAGAGGUAGAUGGAAUUUCUGGUGUAGGGGUAAAAUCCGUAGAGAUCAGAAGGAAUACCGAUUGCGAAGGCGAUCUACUAGAACAUUAUUGACGCUGAGACGCGAAAGCGUGGGGAGCAAACAGGAUUAGAUACCCGCGUAGUC